This 1595-nucleotide ribosomal RNA is filed under the name Salmonella enterica. RNAcentral describes it as "partial 23S ribosomal RNA". It matches the Rfam family "Bacterial large subunit ribosomal RNA", at positions 1225 to 2802 of the family's 2925-position model. RNAcentral also lists the same sequence under 1 other name. The record is from RNAcentral. Lineage: Bacteria; Pseudomonadati; Pseudomonadota; Gammaproteobacteria; Enterobacterales; Enterobacteriaceae.
UGGGUAGGGGAGCGUUCUGUAAGCCUGUGAAGGUGUGUCGUGAGGCAUGCUGGAGGUAUCAGAAGUGCGAAUGCUGACAUAAGUAACGAUAAAGCGGGUGAAAAGCCCGCUCGCCGGAAGACCAAGGGUUCCUGUCCAACGUUAAUCGGGGCAGGGUGAGUCGACCCCUAAGGCGAGGCCGAAAGGCGUAGUCGAUGGGAAACGGGUUAAUAUUCCCGUACUUGGUGUUACUGCGAAGGGGGGACGGAGAAGGCUAUGUUGGCCGGGCGACGGUUGUCCCGGUUUAAGCGUGUAGGUGUGUGUUCCAGGUAAAUCCGGUUCACUUUAACACUGAGGCGUGACGACGAGGCACUACGGUGCUGAAGCAACAAAUGCCCUGCUUCCAGGAAAAGCCUCUAAGCAUCAGGUAACAUCAAAUCGUACCCCAAACCGACACAGGUGGUCAGGUAGAGAAUACCAAGGCGCUUGAGAGAACUCGGGUGAAGGAACUAGGCAAAAUGGUGCCGUAACUUCGGGAGAAGGCACGCUGACACGUAGGUGAAGUGAUUUACUCAUGGAGCUGAAGUCAGUCGAAGAUACCAGCUGGCUGCAACUGUUUAUUAAAAACACAGCACUGUGCAAACACGAAAGUGGACGUAUACGGUGUGACGCCUGCCCGGUGCCGGAAGGUUAAUUGAUGGGGUCAGCGCAAGCGAAGCUCCUGAUCGAAGCCCCGGUAAACGGCGGCCGUAACUAUAACGGUCCUAAGGUAGCGAAAUUCCUUGUCGGGUAAGUUCCGACCUGCACGAAUGGCGUAAUGAUGGCCAGGCUGUCUCCACCCGAGACUCAGUGAAAUUGAACUCGCUGUGAAGAUGCAGUGUACCCGCGGCAAGACGGAAAGACCCCGUGAACCUUUACUAUAGCUUGACACUGAACAUUGAGCCUUGAUGUGUAGGAUAGGUGGGAGGCUUUGAAGUGUGGACGCCAGUCUGCAUGGAGCCGACCUUGAAAUACCACCCUUUAAUGUUUGAUGUUCUAACGUGGACCCGUUACCCGGGUUGCGGACAGUGUCUGGUGGGUAGUUUGACUGGGGCGGUCUCCUCCUAAAGAGUAACGGAGGAGCACGAAGGUUGGCUAAUCCUGGUCGGACAUCAGGAGGUUAGUGCAAUGGCAUAAGCCAGCUUGACUGCGAGCGUGACGGCGCGAGCAGGUGCGAAAGCAGGUCAUAGUGAUCCGGUGGUUCUGAAUGGAAGGGCCAUCGCUCAACGGAUAAAAGGUACUCCGGGGAUAACAGGCUGAUACCGCCCAAGAGUUCAUAUCGACGGCGGUGUUUGGCACCUCGAUGUCGGCUCAUCACAUCCUGGGGCUGAAGUAGGUCCCAAGGGUAUGGCUGUUCGCCAUUUAAAGUGGUACGCGAGCUGGGUUUAGAACGUCGUGAGACAGUUCGGUCCCUAUCUGCCGUGGGCGCUGGAGAACUGAGGGGGGCUGCUCCUAGUACGAGAGGACCGGAGUGGACGCAUCACUGGUGUUCGGGUUGUCAUGCCAAUGGCACUGCCCGGUAGCUAAAUGCGGAAGAGAUAAGUGCUGAAAGCAUCUAAGCACGAAACUUGCCCCGA